This 443-nucleotide ribosomal RNA is filed under the name Pseudomonas sp. B1L3. RNAcentral's name for it is "bacterial SSU rRNA". It matches the Rfam family "Bacterial small subunit ribosomal RNA", at positions 60 to 498 of the family's 1533-position model. The record is from RNAcentral. Lineage: Bacteria; Pseudomonadati; Pseudomonadota; Gammaproteobacteria; Pseudomonadales; Pseudomonadaceae.
AGUCGAGCGGAUGACAGGAGCUUGCUCCUGAAUUCAGCGGCGGACGGGUGAGUAAUGCCUAGGAAUCUGCCUGGUAGUGGGGGACAACGUUUCGAAAGGAACGCUAAUACCGCAUACGUCCUACGGGAGAAAGCAGGGGACCUUCGGGCCUUGCGCUAUCAGAUGAGCCUAGGUCGGAUUAGCUAGUUGGUGAGGUAAUGGCUCACCAAGGCGACGAUCCGUAACUGGUCUGAGAGGAUGAUCAGUCACACUGGAACUGAGACACGGUCCAGACUCCUACGGGAGGCAGCAGUGGGGAAUAUUGGACAAUGGGCGAAAGCCUGAUCCAGCCAUGCCGCGUGUGUGAAGAAGGUCUUCGGAUUGUAAAGCACUUUAAGUUGGGAGGAAGGGCAGUAAAUUAAUACUUUGCUGUUUUGACGUUACCGACAGAAUAAGCACCGGCU